Molecule: long non-coding RNA, 2760 nt
Organism: Lotus japonicus
Lineage: Eukaryota; Viridiplantae; Streptophyta; Magnoliopsida; Fabales; Fabaceae
Exons: 2
Source: RefSeq, a predicted model, not a curated record
AACGGUGCCAUUUCAAUACUAUUUCUAAGCCAUAACAUGAGUCAAGGCUGGGAACAGAGGUUCUGGAAUUUUUGGCGCGGAAAAUGGCGCGACUCCAAUAUAAUUUGGUGCAAUAGCACGAGGCAGUGAGGGCUGGUGAGUUUCUGGAAAACGUGGCAUGAAGUUGGUGUUAUUUCUAUGAAGAAUUGGUGCGAUAGCACCAGGCCAAAAUAAAAAUUAUAAGAUUUCCUUGUUUUAAAUUAAUGUGAGUAUACUUUGAACUUAUCUUUUAGACUUAAAAAAAAAAAAAAAAAAUUAGCCUCAGCAGCACACACGCACAAACAUCAGUGUCUUUCAAUUUUUCAUUCUUCUCCUCACAGAAAACCAAAAAACCCACGAAACCCUCUCCCCCAAAUCACCAACUUUCUUAAAAUUUUCCCUUCUUCUCCAUUCCCUUGUUCCAUCUUGCAUUCAUUCACUCUCCAGCACCCAUUCUUGCAUCUACUUCAUCCCCAAGAGAUGGCUGGCAAAAGGAGGCAAUACUUAAGGAGAGGGGCUUUGUCAUAUCCUUGUGCAUAUACGCCUAAUUCAGCAUUGUGAUUGAUGAGAGGGGUAGUGGAGCGGCUGGAGAGGAGAGUGAUGAUGAUGAGCCUCAGAGCUCAGAAUGAGGGAGUUCUUUCCCUUAUCUUUUUACUGUUUUAUUUUUCGUUCAGUUUUAGUUUUCUUAGUUUCUAUGUCUUAUUUAAUUACGUUUUACAUGUUAGUUAGUUUGUGUUUUGUGGAGUUAGUUUACCCUUAUAUGCUUGUGUUGUGCACCAUGUUACUUGCGUAUCUUAAGUGGUUUCACCCUAAAUUUAGAUGCUUGUUUUGUUUGUGAAAAUUGCUGAAAAUAAGUUAUUUGGGGUGAUUCACAUGUGGGGAACUGUUUGUGUUAAGAGAAUGAGAGUUGGGUAACUUUUGGAACCUGAGUUGAGUUGCUUGGAAACACUGUUUUGAGUUCUGAUUAUGGGUACACUUACCCUUUGUUUCUGAGUGUUGAGUGAAUAUUCUGACAUACUUGUACCUGCUUGAACCUGUCUUGAUUUGCAUCUCGGUUGAAUAUGUGCAGUUUUGUGAUUCAGAGAGAGACUUAUAAGAAUCUUUGUUGGCUUUCAGAAUUUGCUUUCAUAUUUCCCUUAGUGGCCCCUUUGAGCCUUAAUUAUUAUUUAUUUGGUACCUUGCUUUGGUGAUUUGUUUGGUUGUUAAGUGAUCUUAGUUACUUAAAAAUUGGAAAGAGCUUAAAAAUUGCAGGCUUCUAUUCUCUCAAAAAAGAAAAAAAAAUGAAAAGAAAAAAAAAUGUAAAAUUUGAGGUAUGUGCCUCGGAACAAAGGAAAAGAAAAAAUAUAAAAUAAGUGAGUAAGGUUAUGGAGGUGGUCAUCCCACUUUCUGUAUUCCCCAAUCACUUCACUGCUUUGUUCCAAAUGAAAAAAAAAUUAAGAGAGAGAGUCUGAAUGUGAUUAAUUAAUUGCUCUUGUGUACUUCAUGAGAAAAAAAAUCACUUAACUAAAUUUGGUAGCCCUUUGAGUUGUCAAUUCUUUCAAUUCCAUACCUACAUUGCACCCUUGGCCACGUUACAACCCGAUGAGGUCUCUCCUAAUUGCUUUGCUGUCUCUUAUUUGAUUUUGAGUUGAAAGAUAGCCAGGUUUGAUGCACUGUACUUGUUUGUUCAUGAGCUGCGAGAUGUGUGAGCUUAAUUGUGUAUGGACUCUUGACUUUGUUUCCUUGCUGCUUGUAAUUCUCACUUACUGAAGUUUAUUCACUUUCUUAUUUUAGCACUUACAUGAAUUACUAUGAUGAACCCUAGGUUUUUAGACUGAAAAUUUGGCAUCUGAGUUAGGGGUGAUUAGUUCUGUGCUUGAGGACAAGCUAAUUGAGUUUACGCUUGAGGACAAGCUGUCGUUGAGUAUAGUGGUGUGUUGACCCGGGGAUAUAAGGGUAUUUUUGUGGGUCUUUUAUUUUAUUUUUAAUUUAUUUUCUGAGUUUUAAUUAGUUUUUAUGGUAUUUUUAAGUAAUUUUCGGAUUUUUAAUUAAUUUAGGAUUUUAUGAGCUUUUAUUUUGAUUUAUUAGAUUUUAGUAGUUUUUAUCUAUCAUUAAUUAGUACUUUUAAAAUUAUAGAUUUAGUUAUGAUUUAGGUUGUUUAUUUUUGGGUUGUUAUCUUUCUAGUAUUUUAUUUGAUUUAUUUUGAUAUUUUUAUUUUAUUUUAUUUAGGAUUUUCGGAAUAAAAAGAAAAGAGAAAAUCAGGAAAACGGAGCUGAUCCGGUGCUGCUGGUCCACGGGAUUUACUAUGCAUACGCAGGAGAUGGACGACUGUUCUUUGCUUCCCGGCCACAUGGCUUAAUCCCGCUGUGGGUCUACGGUAGUGCCAUGGUCCGCAAAGCACUUGAAUGCUCACUUAAAACUUGGACCAAUGGUGAUGCGACACGUGGCCGUUUGGUGGGUUGAAAGAUAUCACGUGAAAAGGAGAAAGAGAACGUGACGGGACGGAAGAAAACAAUAUUUAUAUAUUAGGUUUUGGUUGUUUAAAUAGGGGAGAACCAGAUAUAUUGAGAGUGGAGCAGCAGCCGUGAACAAAAUAAGGGAGAAACAAGAAGCUUCAAUUCUUCAUUAAUUUGAUAAGUUUUUCUUCUGUAAUUUUCAUGGUCAUGCUUGGCUAAAUCUCUUUUAGUACUUGGGUGUGGAUCCUUUUUAGGAUUAUGUUUUGAUUCGAACAUUUGCUUCAUAUGAAUUCUGUUUAUUAAUCUA